Thalassophryne amazonica is the source of this 197-nucleotide long non-coding RNA. RefSeq lists it as uncharacterized. The transcript has 3 exons. The record is from RefSeq and is a predicted model, not a curated record. Lineage: Eukaryota; Metazoa; Chordata; Actinopteri; Batrachoidiformes; Batrachoididae.
CAAUAAUCAUUAUAUUAACUAAAUUUGAUAUAAUUAUAUGGCUAUGACACAACGUGUGCUCUGAUUGGCUGAUUUCUGGUCUGAUAUUUUCCCAUAUCAGAACGUUACCAUGGCAAUCGGUCCAGACUGCAUAUCAUUACCAGAAAGCGAAAAAUAUGAUUAGAAAAACCAAGUCAGACAUGAACAUACUACAUAAA